RNAcentral lists this ribosomal RNA (468 nucleotides) under Bacillus sp. (in: firmicutes). Its description in RNAcentral is "bacterial SSU rRNA". It matches the Rfam family "Bacterial small subunit ribosomal RNA", at positions 217 to 697 of the family's 1533-position model. Lineage: Bacteria; Bacillati; Bacillota; Bacilli; Caryophanales; Bacillaceae. The record is from RNAcentral.
ACUUACAGAUGGGCCCGCGGUGCAUUAGCUAGUUGGUGAGGUAACGGCUCACCAAGGCAACGAUGCAUAGCCGACCUGAGAGGGUGAUCGGCCACACUGGGACUGAGACACGGCCCAGACUCCUACGGGAGGCAGCAGUAGGGAAUCUUCCGCAAUGGACGAAAGUCUGACGGAGCAACGCCGCGUGAGUGAUGAAGGCUUUCGGGUCGUAAAACUCUGUUGUUAGGGAAGAACAAGUACUAUUGACGGUACCUAACCAGAAAGCCACGGCUAACUACGUGCCAGCAGCCGCGGUAAUACGUAGGUGGCAAGCGUUAUCCGGAAUUAUUGGGCGUAAAGCGCGCGCAGGCGGUUUCUUAAGUCUGAUGUGAAAGCCCACGGCUCAACCGUGGAGGGUCAUUGGAAACUGGGGAACUUGAGUGCAGAAGAGAAAAGCGGAAUUCAUGUAGCGGUGAAAUGCGUAUAGAU